UAGGGAAUCUUCCGCAAUGGACGCAAGUCUGACGGAGCAACGCCGCGUGAGUGAAGAAGGAUUUCGGUUCGUAAAACUCUGUUGUUAGAGAAGAACAGCGCAUAGAGUAACUGUUAUGCGUGUGACGGUAUCUAACCAGAAAGCCACGGCUAACUACGUGCCAGCAGCCGCGGUAAUACGUAGGUGGCAAGCGUUGUCCGGAUUUAUUGGGCGUAAAGCGAGCGCAGGCGGUCAAUUAAGUCUGAUGUGAAAGCCCCCGGCUCAACCGGGGAGGGUCAUUGGAAACUGGUUGACUUGAGUGCAGAAGAGGAGAGUGGAAUUCCAUGUGUAGCGGUGAAAUGCGUAGAUAUAUGGCGGAACACCAGUGGCGAAGGCGACUCUCUGGUCUGUAACUGACGCUGAGGUUCGAAAGCGUGGGUAGCAAACAGG
This 429-nucleotide ribosomal RNA is filed under the name Bacteroidota bacterium. RNAcentral's name for it is "Bacteroidetes bacterium partial 16S ribosomal RNA". It matches the Rfam family "Bacterial small subunit ribosomal RNA", at positions 355 to 776 of the family's 1533-position model. Lineage: Bacteria; Pseudomonadati; Bacteroidota. The record is from RNAcentral.